RNAcentral lists this ribosomal RNA (1372 nucleotides) under uncultured bacterium. RNAcentral describes it as "bacterial SSU rRNA". It matches the Rfam family "Bacterial small subunit ribosomal RNA", at positions 28 to 1381 of the family's 1533-position model. The record is from RNAcentral.
GAUGAACGCUGGCGGCGUGCCUAAUACAUGCAAGUCGAGCGAACGGACGAGAAGCUUGCUUCUCCGAUGUUAGCGGCGGACGGGUGAGUAACACGUGGAUAACCUACCUAUAAGACUGGGAUAACUUCGGGAAACCGUAGCUAAUACCGGAUAAUAUUUUGAACCGCAUGGUUCAAAAGUGAAAGACGGUCUUGCUGUCACUUAUAGAUGGAUCCGCGCUGCAUUAGCUAGUUGGUAAGGUAACGGCUUACCAAGGCAACGAUGCAUAGCCGACCUGAGAGGGUGAUCGGCCACACUGGAACUGAGACACGGUCCAGACUCCUACGGGAGGCAGCAGUAGGGAAUCUUCCGCAAUGGGCGAAAGCCUGACGGAGCAACGCCGCGUGAGUGAUGAAGGUCUUCGGAUCGUAAAACUCUGUUAUUAGGGAAGAACAUAUGUGUAAGUAACUGUGCACAUCUUGACGGUACCUAAUCAGAAAGCCACGGCUAACUACGUGCCAGCAGCCGCGGUAAUACGUAGGUGGCAAGCGUUAUCCGGAAUUAUUGGGCGUAAAGCGCGCGUAGGCGGUUUUUUAAGUCUGAUGUGAAAGCCCACGGCUCAACCGUGGAGGGUCAUUGGAAACUGGAAAACUUGAGUGCAGAAGAGGAAAGUGGAAUUCCAUGUGUAGCGGUGAAAUGCGCAGAGAUAUGGAGGAACACCAGUGGCGAAGGCGACUUUCUGGUCUGUAACUGACGCUGAUGUGCGAAAGCGUGGGGAUCAAACAGGAUUAGAUACCCUGGUAGUCCACGCCGUAAACGAUGAGUGCUAAGUGUUAGGGGGUUUCCGCCCCUUAGUGCUGCAGCUAACGCAUUAAGCACUCCGCCUGGGGAGUACGACCGCAAGGUUGAAACUCAAAGGAAUUGACGGGGACCCGCACAAGCGGUGGAGCAUGUGGUUUAAUUCGAAGCAACGCGAAGAACCUUACCAAAUCUUGACAUCCUUUGACAACUCUAGAGAUAGAGCCUUCCCCUUCGGGGGACAAAGUGACAGGUGGUGCAUGGUUGUCGUCAGCUCGUGUCGUGAGAUGUUGGGUUAAGUCCCGCAACGAGCGCAACCCUUAAGCUUAGUUGCCAUCAUUAAGUUGGGCACUCUAAGUUGACUGCCGGUGACAAACCGGAGGAAGGUGGGGAUGACGUCAAAUCAUCAUGCCCCUUAUGAUUUGGGCUACACACGUGCUACAAUGGACAAUACAAAGGGCAGCGAAACCGCGAGGUCAAGCAAAUCCCAUAAAGUUGUUCUCAGUUCGGAUUGUAGUCUGCAACUCGACUAUAUGAAGCUGGAAUCGCUAGUAAUCGUAGAUCAGCAUGCUACGGUGAAUACGUUCCCGGGUCU